UACGUAGGGGGGCGAGCGUUGUCCGGAAUCAUUGGGCGUAAAGCGCGUGUAGGCGGCCCGAUAAGUCCGCUGUGAAAGUCCAGGGCUCAACCCUGGGAUGCCGGUGGAUACUGUCGGGCUCGAGUCCGGAAGAGGCGAGUGGAAUUCCUGGUGUAGCGGUGAAAUGCGCAGAUAUCAGGAGGAACACCAAUGGCGAAGGCAGCUCGCUGGGACGUGACUGACGCUGAGACGCGAAAGCGUGGGGAGCAAACAGG
Molecule: ribosomal RNA, 254 nt
Filed under: uncultured bacterium
Lineage: Bacteria
Description: partial 16S ribosomal RNA
Rfam family: Bacterial small subunit ribosomal RNA
Source: RNAcentral